RNA transcript from Hibiscus syriacus, 1801 nucleotides. RefSeq lists it as uncharacterized. The record is from RefSeq and is a predicted model, not a curated record. The transcript is spliced from 8 exons. NCBI's taxonomy places the organism in Eukaryota, Viridiplantae, Streptophyta, Magnoliopsida, Malvales, Malvaceae.
AGCUUCUGCAAUUGGAAACCCAGAUUUUGCUUUUGCAAAAAAUGGAGGUUAAGGUCGAUUCUACGUUGAAGGAAAAUAAAGGAGAAACAAUGGGAGGUGAACUGCAGACCGAAGAAGAUAAAGUUUCUCUGCAUUUAAAUAAGAAACGAACCGUCAAAACACCAUCCCAGGUUAUGGCCCUGGAGAACUUCUAUAAAGAGGACAGAUUUCCUUCAGAUGAAAUGAAAGAGAAACUGGCUGUUCAAAUAGGGUUGACACAAAAGCAGAUAGCUAGUUGGUUUUGUCAUAGAAGGUUAAAAGACAAAAGGAGAGAUGACUCGUAUGCUAAUGGGCAACAUGAUCAUUCUAGUGGUGUUAUCCAGGAUCAUGUUAGUGGGCUCAGGCAAGAUUCUAGUGGCAGUAUUAAACAGGGUGAUUACAGGUAUAUUGAUCCGAGGGUGGUAGAAAGUCGAAGGAUUUUUGGCCAAUGGUUUCCAGUUACUGACCUGACGUAUGAGCAUAGAUGUCACCAAAAUCCAUAUGAUGUUCAGAUGGAGGAUACAUCUUCUGAAAGUGGUUUGUCUUUACAUGAUCAGCUUUUUUCUGAAACUGGGAAUCCUUAUGACAUGUGCCAUUCAGCUAAACUUACAAAAAAUGGAGCAAUUGUGCAUACUAAUCCGAGUUCUAAAAGCAUGGGUUAUAAGCCAUCUGGAUAUUUGAAGGUUAAGGGUGUGAGCGAGAAUCAUGUCAUUAUUGCUGUUAAGAGGCAGCUGGGAAGGCAUUAUCGAGAAGAUGGUCCAGUACUUAGUAUUCAGUUUGAUCCACUUCCUCCUGGUGCAUUUGAGUUCCCAAGUAGCCAUCCACUCAAUGAGCUAAUCAGUGUUAGAGGUUCCCAACAGGAUUGCUAUCCAGAUAUCUCUGGAGUGAUGAAGCAGCCUAAGCCUAAGAUUAUUAAUGAAGUACAUAAUACCAUGGUGAGUUCUCAGGAUUCAUGCAUGAAGGGUGAAAACUUCAACAUUGUGCAUGGGUCUGAAAGUCAGGGCUGGAAAUCUCAUCAUGAACCAAAACAUAAGCCUUCUUUUUCUUGUUCAAACCCUUUUCCUAGGCAGGACCCUCCUGUAGAUAUCUACAAAGUUUAUGCUGACAAACCUGCUGUCAAUGAUUGUCAACGAAGUAGGAUGAGCUCUAAGCUUGCUGUUGGAAGGAUGGUGUCGGAUUCUUUUUCUAAUUAUCCUGUCUUCUAUAGUGAGAAAAUUACUAAUGAACAAGAAAGUCCUGGGUCACAUGAUAAUGAAACUCAUACCUACAUAGCCCCGAAAAGCCUGCCUAAAACUUCAAAUUUGAUAAGUGCAUGCAGUGAGUCCUUGGGUGCUGAUAGAGUGAAAUUUGUGAGGACGGCAAAGGUGGAGAAUGUUGGUGGCGAGUGGAAUCUGAGAAAGGAUUACCCUGUCAGAAUAAAAGUUGAUGCAACAAAUGAAUUGAGAAUUUGAAGGUCACCAAACAAGUUGAUAUUGAAUUUUGUCAACAAGAUUUUGUGGCAAACGCAUUCCAUGCUAGAUUGCAUGUGUCGAAAAAUCCUAGUAAAGGAUCUUCCAUGGAUGUACCGAGUAGCUUGAGCGAGGAUGAAAUUGCAGAAACUAGUUUAUCCUCUCGGAUUGACUAUGCUUACGGUUGAAGGAUUGUCCAUUUUUCAAGAGGCUCAAGGGGUUGUAAAAAGAUGUACAAAUGAUGGCGUGACAGGAAAACUACUGCUAGGGAGAGCAUUGGGGGCAGUAUUUUGUUCAUUGUAUUAUGUCCUUAAAUAGUGCUCACCUGUUAACGU